GCUCAGAAUGAACGCUGGCGGCGUGCCUAACACAUGCAAGUCGUACGAGAAAUCGAUCCUUCGGGUUCGAGAGUAAAGUGGCGCACGGGUGAGUAACGCGUGGGUAACCUACCCUCAUGACAGGGAUAACACCUCGAAAGAGGUGCUAAUACCUGGUAAGACCACAGUGACCUCGGUCACAGCGGUAAAAGAUGGCCUCUACAUGUAAGCUUUCGCUUGAGGAUGGGCCCGCGUGCUAUUAGCUAGUUGGUGGGGUAACGGCCUACCAAGGCUACGAUAGCUAGCUGGUCUGAGAGGAUGACCAGCCACACUGGAACUGGAACACGGACCAGACUCCUACGGGAGGCAGCAGUGAGGAAUUUUGCGCAAUGGGGGAAACCCUGACGCAGCAACGCCGCGUGAGUGAUGAAGGCUUUCGGGUCGUAAAGCUCUGUCUAGCGGGAAGAAACCUUCCAAGGUCAAUAGCCUUGGAAGCUGACGGUACCGCUGAAGGAAGCACCGGCUAACUCCGUGCCAGCAGCCGCGGUAAUACGGAGGGUGCUAGCGUUAUUCGGAAUCAUUGGGUGUAAAGCGCGUGCAGGCGGCUAGGUAAGUCAGAUGUGAAAGCUCCAGGCUUAACUUGGAAAGUGCAUUUGAAACUGCCUGGCUUGAGUCCGGGAGAGGAAGGUGGAAUUCCCAGUGUACAGGUGAAAUUCGUAGAUCUUGGGAGGAACACCGGUGGCGAAGGCGACCUUCUGGACCGAGACUGACGCUGAGACGCGAAAGCGUGGGGAGCAAACAGGAU
This 784-nucleotide ribosomal RNA is filed under the name uncultured organism. RNAcentral's name for it is "bacterial SSU rRNA". It matches the Rfam family "Bacterial small subunit ribosomal RNA", at positions 22 to 778 of the family's 1533-position model. The record is from RNAcentral.